AUUGAACGCUGGCGGCAUGCCUUACACAUGCAAGUCGAACGGCAGCAUGAUCUAGCUUGCUCGAUUGAUGGCGAGUGGCGCACGGGUGAGUAAUACAUCGGAACGUGCCCUGUAGUGGGGGAUAACUAGUCGAAGGAUUAGCUAAUACCGCAUACGACCUGAGGGUGAAAGUGGGGGACCGCAAGGCCUCAUGCUAUAGGAGCGGCCGAUGUCUGAUUAGCUAGUUGGUGAGGUAAAGGCUCACCAAGGCGACGAUCAGUAGCUGGUCUGAGAGGACGAUCAGCCACACUGGGACUGAGACACGGCCCAGACUCCUACGGGAGGCAGCAGUGGGGAAUUUUGGACAAUGGGCGAAAGCCUGAUCCAGCAAUGCCGCGUGUGUGAAGAAGGCCUUCGGGUUGUAAAGCACUUUUGUCCGGAAAGAAAUGGCUCUGGUUAAUACCUGGGGUCGAUGACGGUACCGGAAGAAUAAGGACCGGCUAACUACGUG
RNAcentral lists this ribosomal RNA (490 nucleotides) under uncultured bacterium. Its description in RNAcentral is "partial 16S ribosomal RNA". It matches the Rfam family "Bacterial small subunit ribosomal RNA", at positions 30 to 507 of the family's 1533-position model. The record is from RNAcentral.